Molecule: long non-coding RNA, 517 nt
Filed under: Ananas comosus (pineapple)
Lineage: Eukaryota; Viridiplantae; Streptophyta; Magnoliopsida; Poales; Bromeliaceae
Description: long non-coding RNA (ACOM_LNC007043)
Source: RNAcentral
ACCUUAUUUUAGUUUUCUCUGUCUCUCUUCUCUCUCUCUCACCAUUUUUACGUUAUAAACUAUUUCUAAUAUUUCUAGAGUUAAAAUCUGUUAAUUAAAUGAAAUAAACGAAACGGAUAGCAUGCUAUCUAUCUCUCAAAAAAAAAAAAAAUAUCUGUUAAUUAACUCUUUUAUCUCUAUAAAAUUAUUAUUUUGCCCUUUUAAAUAUACCCUUCCACCAUCACCGACUUUCUUAUUUGUCCUUAAAAUCAGGAGCAUAAAAAGUAUUUUGACUUUUGGUCUUUUCAAAUAUACCCUUCUACCGCCACUAAUAUUUCUUAUUUGCCCUUAAGUUAAAGGCAAAAUUGUUAUUUUAAUUUGUUUUAACUGUGGUAGAUAUUUAACUCACGAGUUAACUUAACAGAAAUAACUUCGGAAAUAUUUUGCAAUAAUGGUGGAACAUAUGAGGGGUAUUUUAAAAAGAGAAAAUAAAUAGGGAUAAAUCGGGGUAUAUAGAUAAUUAUCCCUAUAAUAAAAC